CACCGUGCCUACCUACAGCUCCAACAACCCUCCGCACAGCGAAGUUUGAUGCUAGCCUACGAACAACAUGAAUGUUUGUCUGAGGCGGUGCAACUCGAGUUUCGCCAUCAGGUGGAAGACUGUCUCCUCUCUCUGGUCAGUCUCAACUGAAGGAGAGAACAACGUCCAUGAGAGGCGGACACUGCUGGUCUCUGCCUCCCUCCACUGAGACUAAUGCUGUGUUCAAAAUAACUGGGAACUCCGACGUCAGAGCUUCAAGACAACUGGGAACUUGGAUGUUUACAAUCCAAAUGAUUGCACAAUGGCAGGUUUGAAUGAAAGACUGUCUGGGUUACAAGCAUGACCAGUUUGGAAUUUUGUACUAAGAGUUGUGAAAAUGUACGAAAUAGUUGUGGAAAUAGUACCAAAGCGAUUAAAAAAAACGCGGUGGUGUACAACGUUCAUAUGAUGAGAUGAAACGUGAGGGGCGGGGGCACCAUCGGACACGACAACGGAGCCGUCGGCGCUGGCUGGUACUGAAAAAAGGUUCUCUCUGUUUUGUUGUUGUUAUCUCCUUUUCAUGUUGCAGUAUUGUACAUUUCAUCAUCUACAUGUGCCUCUUAUCUACUGGUGUGUGUUAGUGUGUCCAUUUUAGAUCCUGUAUGUACAGUCUGUCUCGCACUGCUGGUAUGAACUGCUAAAAAUCAAACCAACAUAUUCUGUUGGCUUUUGCGAUACGGCUUUCACUACACAGGCUUGACACGCCGGGGCAGCUUGUACACGACCCAAAGCCUGCCUGGCCUCACGUGCAAUGAGACUGUAAUCCAUCACCAGGAAGACAAAAGGCUAGGGGAGAGGACUAACAAAUCAACUCCAAAAUCUCCCGAAACCAGAAAAGGUGGACUGUUGGGCAUGGGCCUAGCAACCCCAAGACCUGCUCCUUGUAGUCGGAGACCUGAAUGCAAAGGUUGGAACCAACAACACUAGAGGUCGACCGAUUAUGAUUUUUCAACGUCGAUACCGAUUAAUCCGCCGAUUAUUUUUAUAAUGACAAUUACAACAAUACUGAAUGAACACUUAUUUUAACUUAAUAUAAUACAUCAAUAAAAUCAAUUUA
Salmo salar (Atlantic salmon) is the source of this 1096-nucleotide non-coding RNA. NCBI's taxonomy places the organism in Eukaryota, Metazoa, Chordata, Actinopteri, Salmoniformes, Salmonidae. The record is from RefSeq and is a predicted model, not a curated record.